This is a long non-coding RNA of Trichechus manatus latirostris (Florida manatee), 207 nucleotides long. RefSeq lists it as uncharacterized. NCBI's taxonomy places the organism in Eukaryota, Metazoa, Chordata, Mammalia, Sirenia, Trichechidae. The record is from RefSeq and is a predicted model, not a curated record. The transcript is spliced from 3 exons.
UGGCCCCACCUCCCAAUAUUUAUUUAAUUAAGCACACAGCAGCCUUAGCCCUCAGCACUGGACAGAAGGGGAAGAAGACAGACCCAAGUGGAACUCCAAUGAGGGGUGUCAUUUUGGUUUCAGAGGCCUGAGCUAUGGGGUGCACAGGAGGCAGGUAAGAGCGUCAUUUGAUGUCUUGACUGCUGCUUUCAUGGGCAUUGAUUGUGG